Molecule: ribosomal RNA, 2777 nt
Filed under: Pseudomonas aeruginosa
Lineage: Bacteria; Pseudomonadati; Pseudomonadota; Gammaproteobacteria; Pseudomonadales; Pseudomonadaceae
Description: partial 23S ribosomal RNA
Rfam family: Bacterial large subunit ribosomal RNA
Source: RNAcentral
GGUCAAGUGAAGAAGCGCAUACGGUGGAUGCCUUGGCAGUCAGAGGCGAUGAAAGACGUGGUAGCCUGCGAAAAGCUUCGGGGAGUCGGCAAACAGACUUUGAUCCGGAGAUCUCUGAAUGGGGGAACCCACCUAGGAUAACCUAGGUAUCUUGUACUGAAUCCAUAGGUGCAAGAGGCGAACCAGGGGAACUGAAACAUCUAAGUACCCUGAGGAAAAGAAAUCAACCGAGAUUCCCUUAGUAGUGGCGAGCGAACGGGGAUUAGCCCUUAAGCUUCAUUGAUUUUAGCGGAACGCUCUGGAAAGUGCGGCCAUAGUGGGUGAUAGCCCCGUACGCGAAAGGAUCUUUGAAGUGAAAUCGAGUAGGACGGAGCACGAGAAACUUUGUCUGAACAUGGGGGGACCAUCCUCCAAGGCUAAAUACUACUGACUGACCGAUAGUGAACCAGUACCGUGAGGGAAAGGCGAAAAGAACCCCGGAGAGGGGAGUGAAAUAGAACCUGAAACCGUAUGCGUACAAGCAGUGGGAGCCUACUUGUUAGGUGACUGCGUACCUUUUGUAUAAUGGGUCAGCGACUUAUAUUCAGUGGCAAGCUUAACCGUAUAGGGUAGGCGUAGCGAAAGCGAGUCUUAAUAGGGCGUUUAGUCGCUGGGUAUAGACCCGAAACCGGGCGAUCUAUCCAUGAGCAGGUUGAAGGUUAGGUAACACUGACUGGAGGACCGAACCCACUCCCGUUGAAAAGGUAGGGGAUGACUUGUGGAUCGGAGUGAAAGGCUAAUCAAGCUCGGAGAUAGCUGGUUCUCCUCGAAAGCUAUUUAGGUAGCGCCUCAUGUAUCACUCUGGGGGGUAGAGCACUGUUUCGGCUAGGGGGUCAUCCCGACUUACCAAACCGAUGCAAACUCCGAAUACCCAGAAGUGCCGAGCAUGGGAGACACACGGCGGGUGCUAACGUCCGUCGUGAAAAGGGAAACAACCCAGACCGCCAGCUAAGGUCCCAAAGUUGUGGUUAAGUGGUAAACGAUGUGGGAAGGCUUAGACAGCUAGGAGGUUGGCUUAGAAGCAGCCACCCUUUAAAGAAAGCGUAAUAGCUCACUAGUCGAGUCGGCCUGCGCGGAAGAUGUAACGGGGCUCAAACCACACACCGAAGCUGCGGGUGUCACGUAAGUGACGCGGUAGAGGAGCGUUCUGUAAGCCUGUGAAGGUGAGUUGAGAAGCUUGCUGGAGGUAUCAGAAGUGCGAAUGCUGACAUGAGUAACGACAAUGGGUGUGAAAAACACCCACGCCGAAAGACCAAGGGUUCCUGCGCAACGUUAAUCGACGCAGGGUUAGUCGGUUCCUAAGGCGAGGCUGAAAAGCGUAGUCGAUGGGAAACAGGUUAAUAUUCCUGUACUUCUGGUUACUGCGAUGGAGGGACGGAGAAGGCUAGGCCAGCUUGGCGUUGGUUGUCCAAGUUUAAGGUGGUAGGCUGAAAUCUUAGGUAAAUCCGGGGUUUCAAGGCCGAGAGCUGAUGACGAGUCGUCUUUUAGAUGACGAAGUGGUUGAUGCCAUGCUUCCAAGAAAAGCUUCUAAGCUUCAGGUAACCAGGAACCGUACCCCAAACCGACACAGGUGGUCGGGUAGAGAAUACCAAGGCGCUUGAGAGAACUCGGGUGAAGGAACUAGGCAAAAUGGCACCGUAACUUCGGGAGAAGGUGCGCCGGCUAGGGUGAAGGAUUUACUCCGUAAGCUCUGGCUGGUCGAAGAUACCAGGCCGCUGCGACUGUUUAUUAAAAACACAGCACUCUGCAAACACGAAAGUGGACGUAUAGGGUGUGACGCCUGCCCGGUGCCGGAAGGUUAAUUGAUGGGGUUAGCGCAAGCGAAGCUCUUGAUCGAAGCCCCGGUAAACGGCGGCCGUAACUAUAACGGUCCUAAGGUAGCGAAAUUCCUUGUCGGGUAAGUUCCGACCUGCACGAAUGGCGUAACGAUGGCGGCGCUGUCUCCACCCGAGACUCAGUGAAAUUGAAAUCGCUGUGAAGAUGCAGUGUAUCCGCGGCUAGACGGAAAGACCCCGUGAACCUUUACUGUAGCUUUGCACUGGACUUUGAGCCUGCUUGUGUAGGAUAGGUGGGAGGCUUUGAAGCGUGGACGCCAGUUCGCGUGGAGCCAUCCUUGAAAUACCACCCUGGCAUGCUUGAGGUUCUAACUCUGGUCCGUGAUCCGGAUCGAGGACAGUGUAUGGUGGGCAGUUUGACUGGGGCGGUCUCCUCCUAAAGAGUAACGGAGGAGUACGAAGGUGCGCUCAGACCGGUCGGAAAUCGGUCGUAGAGUAUAAAGGCAAAAGCGCGCUUGACUGCGAGACAGACACGUCGAGCAGGUACGAAAGUAGGUCUUAGUGAUCCGGUGGUUCUGUAUGGAAGGGCCAUCGCUCAACGGAUAAAAGGUACUCCGGGGAUAACAGGCUGAUACCGCCCAAGAGUUCAUAUCGACGGCGGUGUUUGGCACCUCGAUGUCGGCUCAUCACAUCCUGGGGCUGAAGCCGGUCCCAAGGGUAUGGCUGUUCGCCAUUUAAAGUGGUACGCGAGCUGGGUUUAGAACGUCGUGAGACAGUUCGGUCCCUAUCUGCCGUGGACGUUUGAGAUUUGAGAGGGGCUGCUCCUAGUACGAGAGGACCGGAGUGGACGAACCUCUGGUGUUCCGGUUGUCACGCCAGUGGCAUUGCCGGGUAGCUAUGUUCGGAAAAGAUAACCGCUGAAAGCAUCUAAGCGGGAAACUUGCCUCAAGAUGAGAUCUCACU